UCCCCGGAGGACUAGUGGUUAGGCCUCGGCGCUCUCACCGCCACGGCCCGGCUUCAAUUCCCGGCCAGGGAA
This 72-nucleotide transfer RNA is filed under the name Pangasianodon gigas (Mekong giant catfish). Its description in RNAcentral is "tRNA-Glu". It matches the Rfam family "tRNA". From Rfam's summary of the family: Transfer RNA (tRNA) molecules are approximately 80 nucleotides in length. Their secondary structure includes four short double-helical elements and three loops (D, anti-codon, and T loops). Lineage: Eukaryota; Metazoa; Chordata; Actinopteri; Siluriformes; Pangasiidae. The record is from RNAcentral.